UACAUAUACUUUCCCAGUAGCACCAUGUGCACCUGAAUCUGUCAUACAGUCGGCUGUAUGACCCUCAGAUACAUGCCUUGAGCCAGCCAGCAAUUGCCCAUUGCCCAAAGCUCACCCUUAACACUGUAGCCAAGUUACUUUAUCUCAACCUUGCUCAAGUUUUUGUUUCUACCGCUUGUUUCCUCAUCACCUCUAAUUUAGGGACGCGGGAAACAGCGCAAAGCCACCUGCAAAUUCCUUUCCCACACCCCUGUGUAAUUGCUUUACAUGUCUAUGGUCAGAUGCAAGGCAGAGUUCAAUCAAGUGCUAUGUGCUUAAAAUUUUAGGCAGAUGACCUGCAGAGGAACUAGGAACUGCUGAUAAUGCUGCUUUGGAGCAGUUCGUCCAGGCCAAUUGCUGUUCUACCCAACCAGCUUACAUCUGGGAAACCUGGCAAAGAAUACCUUAUCUUCCCGUUCCCUCUACCCCAGCUGUGCACAGACGAGACCUGGGAAGCCCAGGCAGGCCAGACAUGCUGGUUCACGUACACGACCUGUGUGUGAGCACGCAUGGCCCCACACACAGCUAGGCACACCAGCUCACAGGCAGCUAUUGUGUUUUGAACCCCCGCUUGCUGGAGGUUGACUUUAUCGUAUUAUUUACACCAUUCUUGCCAUAACAUUUCAAGAAAUGUUUUCCUCCAGGCGCAGGAUCACGCUGUUCCUUAUCACUUUUUAUCACUGUCACUUGGACACGAUCCCGGUCUUCGGGGCGCAGUAUCACACACACAGAGGAUUUAUCACCCUUUCAUCAGCGCCGCUUGGUCAUGGCCAACCUUCCAGCAGCUUUGCGUGACCAUGAGCAAUCCCUGACGGAUUUGGGCACCGUGUUUCUGGGCAGUCUGAGAUUAUUCCUGUCAGGCUGGUGGCCGGGGGGAGAGGGGCUCCGAGCCUCGAGUGUCGGUGACUCAAGCCCCCGGGGCGGGCGUUAACGGCGCCCAGGAGGGCUCUCAGCGCUCCCUCCCCAAAAACCACCCCCGGAGCCUGUCCACACCUCCCCGUCCCGCCCCGGGGCGGCCGGAGCCCCCCGCCGCCACCGCCCAAAGGGGGAGGAAGAGGCGGGCCGGGCUUCGCCGAGCGCCGACAUGUCGCAGCCGGGGCCUAAGGGCGCCGCGGCGCAAGGUGACAAAAAGGCAAGUGAAGCUUCUUCCAAAUCAGGAGAGAAAAAGGCAGAAACAGAGAAGAGUUCAACUAGUGCUAAUGUCACUCAGCCCCCCAAAACACAGACAAGCGGAGCACCUUCUACUGUCAAGGACAACACUGUAUAUUAAAGCAUAGAGCUGAGAAGAGGGAUUUUGAGCAACCUAUGAAAAAGGAGAGCUCUGCUACCGUGAUGAGUAUGUACUUUACUGUAAUGCAGUACUCCCUCGUGCAGAGUGGGAACCUGAGAAGAGUGCUGACAGUAUUGACACACUGCUUCUCGUACUUGAAUAUGACUGAAUGGAAAUAAAAUUCCUGUAUGUGCCA
Molecule: long non-coding RNA, 1505 nt
Filed under: Anas platyrhynchos platyrhynchos (common mallard)
Lineage: Eukaryota; Metazoa; Chordata; Aves; Anseriformes; Anatidae
Description: lncRNA (ENSAPLG00000024396.1)
Source: RNAcentral